Ribosomal RNA from Mus spicilegus (steppe mouse), 117 nucleotides. The record is from Ensembl. Lineage: Eukaryota; Metazoa; Chordata; Mammalia; Rodentia; Muridae.
UUAAAAUGUAAGCUAUCUCUGUGUGUGCUCAAUGUCACCUGAUCUCGGAAGCUAAGCAGGGGCUGGCUUGGUUAGUACUUGGAUGAGAUUCUCUCUGGGAAUAUGGUGCACUUCGGG